GGCCAUAAACUUUGGCAUUCCAUGAAAGUUCAAAAUGCUGUUUUUUUCAGGCUACAAUAAGUAUUCAGGUUUUACCAGUCAAAUAUGUGACUUAAUCUGCCAUGUCCGUAAGAAGUUAGAGCAAUUUGGAACUUUCGCUCUGUGCAUUGAUCCUUCGAGCCAGAUGAGAUGGAACCACACGACGCGAAUAACUUGCGCGCGAAGCGGGAGGUUAUGUUCGCGAAAGCGAGAUGGGAGAACGGAAGGAUAAACUCACGGAACUUUCUGGUAACUUCGAAACAGUUCAAACCGAGAUUGAAGAGAACACCAGUCACUGCUUGGAAGAUGUAGCGUCGGUAUUCAACUACCGGCUGCGCAGUUCGACGAAGUCUACUUCAAGGCGAAGGGCAUUUACUCAUCGUACCUGCAGCGCAGGAAUAGGAGAAUCGACAAACGACUUGCGAGAUGCGAUCAGGGCGCUCGUAGAGAUGCAUCAAGCAAUGAUCAUGCACCAAAUCAAGAACAGUGCAGCACCUGCUGCGAGACAGGUGUCGAAUCAGGACCAUCCGCUGAACGUGAAGCUUCCGCAGCUCAACAUUCCGAUGUUCAAAGGAAAACGGAAGAACUGACUUUCCCUCAAAGAUUUGUUCGUGAGCACAAUCCACAGCAGAACGGACCUGAAGGAUGCGCUGAAUAUGCAGUACUUGCUAUCAUAUCUGGAUGACGAAGCGAAGAAAACGGUCAGUUCAUUUCCCAUCAGUGAUGCCAAUUAUAAGGAAGUUUUGGGAGACACUUGUAAGGCACUACAACAAGAAGAAGUACACAGUGUUUGCCCUAGUUCGGGAGCUCAUCGACCAACCAGCAAUCUCAUGCACGAGCGGAUUGAAGAAGUUGGUGACAACAUCCGAAUCGAGGGAUCCCUGACUCAAUCGCCUACUGCUGGAGAAAGUUGGCAGGGAAACAACGUCUUUGUGGGCGCAGAAAAUUAUUGAUGUCGACAGUCCAACCUUUGCUGACUUUCUGGAGUUCCUGCAGAAGCGUUGCGAUGUACUCGAAACGUGCACAGCCAUUCACGAAGCGGCCGAUCCAAGAAGAUACCGUGAAGAAGUUGGUAUAAGAGUGCAAGCUUUCCACACCAACACAUUUCAAGGAGCAAUUCAAGGAAAUGGUUAUCACGGCGCGCAGGGAGUUGGCACAAACGGCAAGGCUUUGCCCAUCGAAAUCGGUACGCCGCUCUGCAGACUGCAAGCAACGGCAUCACACUUUGCUGUGCACACAAGAAGCGAAGCAACCGCAGAAGAAGUCGAAUCAGCGUCAAUCAAACCAGGAAGCUCGUUCGGCAUCAGCUCCUAGCAUCGGUGAAUGUCAACUCGGCACAAUCGCUGGGCGAGAAAUUUGAAGUUACGCUGCUGCUCACAGUGAUGGCACGAGUCAAAGGGAGUGACGGCAAGCUGCACGAGGUGAGGAUUCUUAUUGACUGUGGUUGAGGCGUAGCAACGGUACACUGGAAGUCACCGGUGUCAACGCAGAGUUUGUCGACACUACCCGGCAAGGCUACACUCGUGAUCUCAUCGCGUUUCGAGCAUGGAGCGAAACUCGUCGCUCAUGCUUACGUUCAUGGCAACACUGCCGUGUCAGCAAUUCAGCCUGGAGGCUCUGCAGCUGGCCAACCCGCAGUUCAACAAGCCUGGAUCAACGGACAUCAUCUUGGGCUCUGAUGUUGUCCUUUCGUUACUAGAGCCAGGACAGGUCAAGGAUCACAACGGUAAACCUGUAGCACAGCGUUUCGUCUUUGGAUGGAUGCUUGCAGGAAAUAUUUCGAAGCAAGGGUGCGCUCACACCUAUCAUUCGGUACUCAAUCUGCAUCACGAGGUUGAUAUCGAUCGCACUCUGUGUCUGUUUUGGGAAGAUCAAGAGCUUCACAGUCCCAAACAGCUCACCAAGGAUGAGCAAGGGGUGGUUGAAGAGUUCAACUCGACAGUGAGCAUGCAUAAGGGCGUAUACGCGAUGAUCGAUUCUCUUCAACGAUUUUCUCUUUGCAUUGCUACAGCUAAGCGAAACAAUUUUCUAGAAUAUGUUCAAUGCAGAGAUGUAACAGGUUGUAUUGGCUAUCAAAAACAGCAGCAAACGCAUCGAGAAACGUUAAUUCUAGCGAGUUAUUAACAAAAGAGAAAAUUGACGAAGAGAAUCGAUCAUCGCGUUUACACCCUUAUGCAUGUUUACAGUCGAACUCCACCCUCACGCGCUCGCAGAGAAAGGUCGCUUUAUCGUCUGUUUGCCUAUGGAUGAUUCAAAGCUCAAACUCGGGAAUUCGCUGACCGCUGCUACCAGGUGGUUGAGAGCGAUGGAGCGCCAAUUCGAGAACGACAGCUGGCUAUCGUUUAUGCAAGAGUACCAGCAAUUGGGCCACAUGGAGGUUGUGCCGCUGGCGGAGAUCGACGUGGACUGUUCGAAAUCGUACUACUUGCCCCACCAUGGCGUUGUAAAGAAGGACAGCGUAACCACAAAACUUCGAGUGGUUUUCGAUGCUUCUUCUGCCACCACGACGAUAUGCUACUAGAUGCUGUUCUUAGUGGUAUUCAUCGCGGAUGUCGAAAAGAUGUACCACCAGGUGUGGGUGCAUCAUUAAAAUACGGACUAGAGAGGGUCUAUACUACACCCUCUCUAAUACGGACUACCUAUGCAUCGUAUGGCGAGAAUCCUGACAAGCCGAAUCAGCAUUUUCGUCUCCGUACCGUCACUUACGGUCUUAAGAACUCAGAGUUCCUAGCAAUGGCAGCAGUACCCGGAAGCUGCUGAGAGAAUCAAGAAGCAUACAUACGUCGAUGAUCUAACUUCAGGCGCAGAUUCAGCGGAGGAAGCGGUACGAGUUAUCAAGGAAAUCAACGAAAUCCUCGGCAAGGUGGGGUUUACUCUUCGUAAAUGGAGUUCAACUGAAGUACUCGACUCGCUGACAGAUACCAUCAGCACCACAAUGCCGAUUCAAUUCCCCGACGAACAGAAUAUUGUGAAGGCGUUCGGAACACACUAGCUUCCAACAGAAGAUGUGUUCACAUUUAAGGUGACGGACCAAACACGAAACAUCACCUACUCUCGGAUUCAGCGAAGCUGUUUGACCCAUUUGGAUGGUUUGCACCCGUGAUUGUACGUGACAAAAUCCUAUAUAGAACAGUGGCGUCACCCUAACCUCAAUCUACCUGUUCAACAACUCUCAAAACGUAAACAAACAAAACAAUAUUGGUUCCAAUGGAUACAAAUCAGUGAAACUAGAAGACCCUAUGCCUUUUGAAACUGAUUUGAAUGUAAACAUGACCCUAAAUAACGUUUUCAAAGUUGUUGAACAGGUAAAAAGGGAAGUUACGCGACGCCACUGAUAUAGAAAAUGUCCGUCAUUGAAGAGGUGUGAACUACCACGAUGAGCGGCGAAUUACACAGAUUCUCGGAUGCAGCGGAGGAGGCGUACCUACGAUCAGUGGAUAGUGACGGCGAGGUUCAUGUUACCUUGAUGGCAGCGAAAACCAAGGUCGCUCCUGUACGACAAAUCUCCAUUCCCCGUCUGGAGCUCAAUGCAGCCGAAACUGAUGAACCAGUUAGCGCAUGCACUCAAGCGAUACCAGAUCGAGCAGUACGCCUGGACGGAUUCUACCAUCGUUUUGCAGUGGCUAUCCAGCCAACCCCGCCAGUGGAACAUCCACAUGGCGAAUAGAACCUCUUCGAUUCUGGACAUCUUGCCGAGAAAGCACUGGGCACAUGUUGUGUCAAACGAAAAUCCUGCUGAUUGCGCUUCCCGUGGGAUCUCUCGGCUGGAACUUGCCAUCCAUCCCCUGUGGUGGACGGGGCCCGCAUGGUUGUCCGACGAUUCAGCUAUGUGGAAACGAAACACAAUCACUGGAGGUUCGUAAACGUUUUCAAUCACUCAAUGUUUCCGUUAGUCUUCCAGCCACAAGCAACGUCAUGGCAGCUGGCUCGCGUUCGGAGAUUCGUCUACAAUAUGAAGUGCAAGGUAACCGGCAACGACAAGCAAUACGGUUCUAUUUUGCCAUCGGAGUUGCAUCAGGCUCGAAUGCAGUUUGUACGACUGUAGCAGUAGGAUUCCUAUGCAAGUCAAACCAAGGCUCUGGUACGCGGAGAGGAAGUUCCAGUUAAAUCCAGCAUUUCAAGCCAGCACGCUUCGGGUUGGAGGGCGAUUACAGCACUCGGCGUAUUCCUUCGAUGUCAAGCACCCGAUAAUCGU
Molecule: long non-coding RNA, 4213 nt
Organism: Ochlerotatus camptorhynchus
Lineage: Eukaryota; Metazoa; Arthropoda; Insecta; Diptera; Culicidae
Exons: 2
Source: RefSeq, a predicted model, not a curated record